GAUGAACGCUAGCGGCAGGCUUAACACAUGCAAGUCGAGGGGUAGAAGGAGCUUGCUCCUUUGAGACCGGCGCACGGGUGCGUAACGCGUAUGCAAUCUACCUUUUGCAGAGGGAUAGCCCAGAGAAAUUUGGAUUAAUACCUCAUAGUAUGUGAGGAUGGCAUCAUUUUCACAUUAAAGUCACAACGGCAAAAGAUGAGCAUGCGUCCCAUUAGCUAGUUGGUAAGGUAACGGCUUACCAAGGCUACGAUGGGUAGGGGUCCUGAGAGGGAGAUCCCCCACACUGGUACUGAGACACGGACCAGACUCCUACGGGAGGCAGCAGUGAGGAAUAUUGGACAAUGGGCGCAAGCCUGAUCCAGCCAUGCCGCGUGCAGGAUGACGGUCCUAUGGAUUGUAAACUGCUUUUUGUACAGGAAGAAACACUACUUCGUGAAGUAGCUUGACGGUACUGUAAGAAUAAGGAUCGGCUAACUCC
Molecule: ribosomal RNA, 478 nt
Filed under: uncultured bacterium
Lineage: Bacteria
Description: bacterial SSU rRNA
Rfam family: Bacterial small subunit ribosomal RNA
Source: RNAcentral